RNAcentral lists this ribosomal RNA (253 nucleotides) under uncultured bacterium. Its description in RNAcentral is "partial 16S ribosomal RNA". It matches the Rfam family "Bacterial small subunit ribosomal RNA", at positions 524 to 776 of the family's 1533-position model. The record is from RNAcentral.
UACGUAGGGCGCAAGCGUUGUCCGGAAUUAUUGGGCGUAAAGAGCUCGUAGGCGGCUUGUCACGUCGAUUGUGAAAGCUCGGGGCUUAACCCCGAGUCUGCAGUCGAUACGGGCUAGCUAGAGUGUGGUAGGGGAGAUCGGAAUUCCUGGUGUAGCGGUGAAAUGCGCAGAUAUCAGGAGGAACACCGGUGGCGAAGGCGGGUCUCUGGGUAGUAACUGACGCUGAGGAACGAAAGCGUGGGUAGCGAACAGG